ACGGAAGGCAGCAGUGGGGAAUAUUGCACAAUGGGGGAAACCCUGAUGCAGCGACGCCGCGUGGGUGAAGAAGUUUUUCGGAAUGUAAAGCCCUAUCAGCAGGGAAGAUAAUGACGGUACCUGACUAAGAAGCACCGGCUAAAUACGUGCCAGCAGCCGCGGUAAUACGUAUGGUGCAAGCGUUAUCCGGAUUUACUGGGUGUAAAGGGAGCGCAGACGGCAUGGCAAGCCAGAUGUGAAAGGUGGGGGCUCAACCCCCAAGCUGCAUUUGGAACUGUCAAGCUAGAGUAUCGGAGAGGUAAGUGGAAUUCCUAGUGUAGCGGUGAAAUGCGUAGAUAUUAGGAGGAACACCAGUGGCGAAGGCGGCUUACUGGACGAUAACUGACGUUGAGGCUCGAAAGCGUGGGGAGCAAACAGGAUUAGAUACCCUGGUA
Molecule: ribosomal RNA, 434 nt
Filed under: uncultured Lachnospiraceae bacterium
Lineage: Bacteria; Bacillati; Bacillota; Clostridia; Lachnospirales; Lachnospiraceae
Description: partial 16S ribosomal RNA
Rfam family: Bacterial small subunit ribosomal RNA
Source: RNAcentral